Molecule: long non-coding RNA, 293 nt
Organism: Rhipicephalus sanguineus (brown dog tick)
Lineage: Eukaryota; Metazoa; Arthropoda; Arachnida; Ixodida; Ixodidae
Exons: 3
Source: RefSeq, a predicted model, not a curated record
CAGAGGAAAAGAAGGGAACCUGCCAGCAGUUCUGGCGAUCAACUUGUUCUGCUUCGUCAGUUCCUUUUUGCCAGCAUCAUCACUUACAUUGCAUUUGUCGUUGUGCAAGGACAACCACUUUGUAGAAGAUUUACUCUACUCAAAAUUGUCAGAACAGGCUGGUGGCACGAGGGUAUAUAUGCAUCGUCAUUGAUAAUAAGAAACAUUGGAGGAAUGCAACAUAGAUUUUAAUCAUGGAGCACUCGCGGAUGGCAUACUGCCGAAAUAAUUUAGGAGCAGCAAAGCAAAAAUAA